UGUCAUCUAGAAUUUUAUUAGAAACUUGUUGUGGAACACAAGGUGAAAUACAAAGCCCAAAAGAGGGAAACUUAAGGCGGCGGACGACAUAAAUGUCCCCGGAGUCAAAGCCAGCGGAAAACGUAAUUUCUCCAGAAACUUAACCCUAAAAAGAAAAACGAAGGGAAAGAAAACAAACAGGAUAUACAAGAAGUAACCAAAACAAAGGAGACGAAACCUUAAUCUAAAAACAAAGGCAACCGGCUAUGAAAUCUUAAAGGAAAUGAUAGAAACGAGAAAUCAAAGAGACCUCCUCUUCAGAAGCACAAGAGAAUGAGAUUUAUCCAGACUGCCCACGGCCAACUCGAGGAUAACAUCUACCACCUCCUAACACAAUGAGAGCUGAUCUCUCAAAACCAAUAACCAGUGACUUCAAAACACAGCAAGCAAGACCACUCACUUCCGGAGGCGACGACGACGUUCAUACGCCAAAGAACAUCAAACUAGAAGUCUUCAAAACGUGAGGAACGAGGCCUAACUCCACAAAAACAUCAAUCACACAAACAAGAUCGACGAAUAAUCGAGACAGCUAACAUCCACAGAGGACAACCACAAGAAGAAGAAACUCGGAGAAGUCCAAAUACUACCAUUUCAAGCAAAUAGAGCGAAACCUCUGCUUAGAACAUAACCAAACCCAAAAGAUAUCACAGGCUGAGACGAGGAGAUAGAGGAGAUACGGCGUCUAAGAAACAAACACAACCACAUGGACGGCAAAAAAAUCAAACUGGAUCAAACAUAAACAGAAAGCUUAAAAUUUGAACCCACCCGGUCGAUCUAACUGAUCCGGAGUCUUCACAUUCUCUGUAAACUCUAAACCCAAGUGAUUUGUCCGCCCCAAAGAUACCACCAAACACACAACAUCAUCACUUGACUCAAAACCAAUGACAUCCCAGUCGAAGGCUACUGAAACUACACAAGAGACUACCAAAGACCAACAAGAAACUACCCUUGAAAAUAACCAAAAAAAGCAAAAUCAUCUAACACCCCCUCAAAUCGACGAAGAAUAAAGACCCAAAAGCUGGCUUACCAAACAACAGAAAUGGACUGAGACCAUGGCCAUGGAUUCCACAAAACACCAGAUCUCCACAGAGAUCCACGUUUCUUCACCAAAAUUUACAAGAACAGGAGCACCCGCCAGAUCAACAAAAUCUCGGACACCCAACACCAACUCUCUCUGGCGAAGCUGACCACUGACAGAACCAAUAACCUUCACCGAGGAGAUCGGCCAUUUCUGCCAAGGUAACCUUUUUCUCCAACGAAAUCAAGGGGAAGAUGAGUUGCAGAACCAGAAAAAAACUACAGCAUAAAAAAAAGGGGAAGCCACUCACAGCAUCGACGAGGAGCGUCGAUCACCCGAGUAACUUCCCAGCCACAGAUCUGAAAAAAGCUUAGGGUUUAACUGUUUGAGAGACGAGAGAGAGCGGCGGUGUUCUCCAUUUAUUCGACUAUGUACACACACACUCUAUCUUACUUUUUCUUUUUAUUCAUCCAAAUAACAGAAAUUAAUAUAAUAACAUAUGUUCAUCCAAAAAAUGAAUAUAAUAUAAUUUUAAUCUAUAAAUAUUUUUGUGAAUCUAAAAAGACCA
Molecule: long non-coding RNA, 1625 nt
Filed under: Capsella grandiflora
Lineage: Eukaryota; Viridiplantae; Streptophyta; Magnoliopsida; Brassicales; Brassicaceae
Description: long non-coding RNA (CGRA_LNC000239)
Source: RNAcentral